Molecule: ribosomal RNA, 405 nt
Filed under: bacterium
Lineage: Bacteria
Description: partial 16S ribosomal RNA
Rfam family: Bacterial small subunit ribosomal RNA
Source: RNAcentral
UGGGGAAUCUUGCGCAAUGGGGGGAACCCUGACGCAGCGACGCCGCGUGCGGGACGGAGGCCUUCGGGUCGUAAACCGCUUUCAGCAGGGAAGAGUCAAGACUGUACCUGCAGAAGAAGCCCCGGCUAACUACGUGCCAGCAGCCGCGGUAAUACGUAGGGGGCGAGCGUUAUCCGGAUUCAUUGGGCGUAAAGCGCGCGUAGGCGGCCCGGCAGGCCGGGGGUCGAAGCGGGGGGCUCAACCCCCCGAAGCCCCCGGAACCUCCGGCGCUUGGGUCCGGUAGGAGCGGGUGGAACACCCGGGGUAGCGGUGGAAUGCGCAGAUAUCGGGUGGAACACCGGUGGCGAAGGCGGCCCUCUGGGCCGAGACCGACGCUGAGGCGCGAAAGCUGGGGGAGCGAACAGG